UCUGAAUUAUUUCUUUAUCAGGCAAGCAUAAAUGUUUAUAUUCCUGCUCGGAUAUCUCGUUAAGUUUUAAAUUUAUAAGACGGCUGGAUUCCAAUGGAGUAAUCCCCGCCGAAUUAUAAAAAUUGAGAAUAACAUCAGGCAAAUCGCUCAGCUGGAUAGUUGCAGCAAUAAUUGGUAAUAAAGUGAAGGCAUCUUCGUACGAAAAAGAUUCUGGUGAUUCAAUGUUGUUUAAGCUUUUUUCUACUGUCUCUUGAUCAUAAAUAGGACAGACAACAUUUAGUGUUUUAAAAAAUAAAUUAACAAUUUUCUGUGAUAUGCAAAAUGGCGGUAAAAGGUUCGCCAAACUCUCAACAACCACAUUAUCUUUAUAGCUACUGUAAGCCUGAAUUGAAAACGAAGGUCGAGAUGAGCACAUGUCGCUAUCCUUUCUAUAUUUAAUCAACUCAAAGAGUGAUCUCCAUCCAUAAAAAUCAAAUUUCUCAUUUUUUUUCGGAUUAAUAUCGGGAGAAACUUCCAGUGUGGUUUCAGAAUCAGAAGCAUUUUCGCUAUGACUAGGAUGUGGUCCGACGUUCAUUUUAUCAAUGGUAUCAUCUGCGUAAGUGCAAACCUCGUUCCUUUCUUUACAUCGAGAGCAAGGCUGCUGACGGUCGCAUUUGACCUUGCGGCGCCUACAAAUUAAACAUGAUUUUGGGCUGCGUUUUCGAAAUUUCUUUAAAGCUGGAGGAGAGGAAGACAUUAUUAGAAGUAUUGAUAACUUGAUAAUUUCCUUUCAAGCAAUUGUAGUUGCCUCCGUAUUUGAAGUGGAGGCACAAAAUAAAACGAGGAUCCUUCAAAACUUCCUAUUUUAGAGAAUCCUUUAAAAGCACCUUGAUAUUCAG
Non-coding RNA from Schizosaccharomyces pombe (fission yeast), 878 nucleotides. Lineage: Eukaryota; Fungi; Ascomycota; Schizosaccharomycetes; Schizosaccharomycetales; Schizosaccharomycetaceae. The record is from the annotation of a GenBank genome assembly.